UUACAUUACUUCUCUAUAAGACUUCCCCAAACCCAGCCUCCCCCCAAAAAAGUGCUCCAUUCCCUGAACUCAAAAAUGUCUCUCAUUCUAUCUAUCUAGCAACGAUGCUCUCACUGUCUUGCAUCAUCUCACAUUCUUGUUUUGUGACAUCAUAUAACUGUUAUUACACUAUAAUCUGGCUUCUCACAUACACAAGCCUUGAUUCCUGAGUUUGAUCUUAACUCUUUUGAAAGGGAAGUCCAUAAUUAUUUUAGCUUUCUUCUCUAAGGCAGUAAACUGCACAUGUGCCUUACAGGGUGCCCAGCACCUAGACCCAGGCUUGCCAGUGCUCCUGCAUAAAACUCCAACCUCUGAUUUGCUUCACUGGCCAGCACCCGCCAUCUCCUGCAGGACACCCGAUAACACUGUGACAGGGGACCGUCAUGCCUUUUGACCCUGCGUAAUAAUUCCAGCUGAUGCUAAAGAAAGCGGAUUUCAAAAGUGGCCCCAGCCAGCUGCAAAACCAACAGGGUUCAUCACUUGAGACAGAGUGUUGCUCAGCAGAGCCCAUUGAGUCUGAAUUUGAGAAUUUGGGGCAAAAAGCUCACAACUUAAAAAUAGCAUCAAAAACUUGGCUGAAAGGGUUCCCAGGUGACCCUCACAGAUCAUAUCACACAGACUCCAGUUUGAUGUGAGUCAAAGGAAGAUGCGACUGGCAGGUACGCCCAAUUACGCCCCAGGCUCUCCUCCAACUGCCUGCCACUUUACAGAAAGGGAACUCCUUUACAAAGUUAUAAUCGCCUAGCAGAAUGUGCCCUUUACACAAAAAUGCCCCGUCAAGGAAUCCACGCCGCCUCUGGUCAACUCACAGAAGUGCUUCGUGUCAAAUUUCGGCUUUGAAGGAAGAUGACAAGUGAGUUCCUCGCAUUAUAUUUCUCUGUUUGUUUUGGAUGUGGGAUGGGCCUCCGUGACACCAAACAUCUGGAUAAACAUUUUUAAAGUGUCUCUGAACCAGUGGUCCAAGUGCUUAUUUUCAAAAAGACCAAAGAAUCAAAGGGCUGGAAGAUUUACUCUCUUUCCAGCUUCUCAUCCAAGGCUCUUGAACAACCCAGUCACCGCCCUUACCCCGUUGCUGCAUCGCACUUGGUUCAUUGGUUUCUAUGAAAAUAAGGAGAUUUGAACUCAUUCAUUGAUCAUCGGUUGAGAACUACAUUGAGCUAUGUCAGCCCUGAUUUGGUUGAUUUUACUCAGUAAAAUUUAACGAUGCCAUAAAGCAUUAAGAGCCAGCCAAAGCAUCAGAGUCUGAACAACCACGGACCAUUACACACCAAAGGAAAGUAUCUACUAGGACUUCUCAUUCGUGUUAGAUAAUGAAUAAAAAUGAUGGAAAAGGGCAGUAUUUCGGUCAUUAGCCCACAAUUAAACACAACUUGGCUGCCAACAGGACACAAAGCCACAGCUCUGGAGUCUGAUCGUUCAUCUCUUCCUCCCACCGUAACGAGGCAGCAGGAGUGAGCCCUCAGCUGCUUCCCUGGGCUUCCCUUUUGCAGGCACGUGCCCUGGGGAACCCUGAAGGCAACACACAUCACAAAUGUGCAUGAACUGUGUCUUCAUAAAUGCCCUCAGCUGGGAUAGAGAUCCUCCGAUGAAUAAUAAAGUCACCACAUCUCAG
Long non-coding RNA from Mustela putorius furo (domestic ferret), 1651 nucleotides. NCBI's taxonomy places the organism in Eukaryota, Metazoa, Chordata, Mammalia, Carnivora, Mustelidae. The record is from Ensembl.